RNAcentral lists this unclassified non-coding RNA (335 nucleotides) under soil metagenome. Its description in RNAcentral is "partial contains 5.8S ribosomal RNA, internal transcribed spacer 2, and large subunit ribosomal RNA". The stretch from base 1 to 120 matches the Rfam family "5.8S ribosomal RNA", at positions 35 to 154 of the family's 154-position model. The record is from RNAcentral.
GAUGAAGAACGUAGCGAAAUGCGAUAAGUAAUGUGAAUUGCAGAAUUCAGUGAAUCAUCGAAUCUUUGAACGCACAUUGCGCCCAUUAGCAUUCUAGUGGGCAUGUCUGUUCGAGCGUCAUUUCAACCCUUAAGCCCUGUUGCUUAGCGUUGGGAGCCUACAGUACUGUAGCUCCCCAAAGUUAGUGGCGGAGUCGGUUUCACACUCUAGACGUAGUAAUUUUUUCUCGUCUGUAGUUGAGCCGGUCCCCUGCCGUAAAACACCCAAUUUAUCAAGGUUGACCUCGGAUCAGGUAGGAAUACCCGCUGAACUUAAGCAUAUCAAUAAGCGGAGGA